This 1328-nucleotide long non-coding RNA is filed under the name Coturnix japonica (Japanese quail). RNAcentral describes it as "lncRNA (ENSCJPG00005004295.1)". Lineage: Eukaryota; Metazoa; Chordata; Aves; Galliformes; Phasianidae. The record is from RNAcentral.
GAGGAGCCGCACGCAUGCGAGGCACAGUGUAGCACGGAGCUCCCUUCAGCGAGUGCUAUGCCAUCACCAAGGGAAUUGUCAGCAUGUAUGGAGAAAGGGCACUCUGCUGAGCAGUUCUGUAAGCAAGAGUCCCUCACUGUCUGCAAUGGAAAAGUGCCAGCGGAGCGACGUUGGGAGGAGCAGGGUAUCUCUUUCUCACUGCGGGCCGCAGCUGCCGGGCGAACACAUGCCCGAGGCUGCCACCGCAUGGCCGGAGCACUGAGCUGAGGGAGGAGCGGCUCAACCCGCAGUUCUCCGGCGCUCCGAUGUUCGUAGAGAUCUUACAGAAAGCAACGUCUUUUCAGCCCCAACUUUGAGCUAAAUACCCAAGCUAUUGCACUGGAUUUGUUUGCUAUAAGUUCACAAAACUGCUUUAUGUCGUUGUUUUUUUUUUCCACGUGUCCUGGAAGAUUCUGUUAUGUCGAGCUAGUAAAAAUAAGCAACAAUAGAAACUACUUAGUAAAAUGAUUUUGCAGAGCCGUUUGGUUGCACUGCCCCGAUGUUAUGAUUUGCAUCCAUUGAUCUAAGUCCCGGGUACUAGAAAACAAAGGGCAAUCUUCAUCUUAUCAUGAUUUUUUCCGUUGUAAACCUUGAGGUUGUGCAAGCAAAAGUAGACCUCCUCAAAAUACAUGCCGUUUUAAUGUAUAUUUUCUUAUAAAAAAGAGAGAGAGAGGGAGAGAGAAAAUGCAGGCUAGUUUUUAUCUAGGAUUAUCAUUUAAAAACACUAACAUGAAAUUCAGUGUCCAUCUUAGCGCUUGGUGAUGGGAACUGAGAUUAUGCAGAGUCUUAAAGCAAGUUCGUGCCACGGUCUGGCUUUUCCCAGCUCCCAGUGCCUCCCUCAGCAGCUCCAUCCCGACUCCGAGGGUGGAAGUAAAGGAAAGUCUCACUAGCUGCAGCUAGUUACUGACCAACACUAGCAGGGGAGCUUUCUACUUCAUUUUAACAUCCUUCUUAUUUUAUUUUAUUUUAUUUUAUUUUAUUUUAUUUUAUUUUAUUUUAUUUUAUUUUAUUUUAUUAUUUUAUUUUAUUUUAAUAUUACUGCAUCAAGAAUUUUAUUUAGGUGUACUUAUUUAAUCUUGGACUGUGCUUUUCUUCUUCUUCUUUUUUUUUUUUUUCUUUUUUCCCCCCUUUUAACAGUGAUUACAGUGAAAACAGUAUUUGCCUUUAAGUUCUACUUGAUCUCUGAUAGGUCUAAAAAGCUGUUCCUCAGAUCAUUUGUACCAGUGUAACUAACUGUGGAGUAAAUCUUCUUUAUGUGGCUGUGUGGUUUUCUUUAAAAAUGAAUAAAG